GCCGGGCGCGGUGGCUCACGCCUGUAAUCCCAGCACCUUGGGAGGCCGAGGCGGGCGGAUCACCUGAGGUCAGGAGUUCGAGACCAGCCUGGCCAACAUGGUGAAACCCCGUCUCGA
RNAcentral lists this non-coding RNA (117 nucleotides) under Nomascus leucogenys (northern white-cheeked gibbon). Lineage: Eukaryota; Metazoa; Chordata; Mammalia; Primates; Hylobatidae. The record is from Rfam by way of RNAcentral.